GACAUGGGUAUUUGGAUGUGAAGACUGUGAGGUCAAGACUCAUUUCAUGAAUGUGUGUGUAAACCCCCUGCGAAGUUAGUGGAUAGUGAGCAGAGAUGUUCACAUCAACAUGAGAUUUUUGCUGUCAAGUGCCAAAACUUCACGGAUCAACAAAAGGAUGCUGGCUGGACAGAUAACAAAGUGACUGCUGCUUCAGGCAAGAAAUGCAGGCUCAGAAGUGUGACUACCCCAGCCAGGGGAGAACGGAGCUCAUGUACCUAGUGAAGUCACAUUUCUGGUACUGAGAGGGAGGGACAAGUAUUGUUUUAAGAUUUUUCUAAGGGUUCUUGGAUGUGCACCCCCCAUACACACAUUUUGCUUCUUGACUGAGGAGAGACCUUAGAAAAGACAAAGGCAUCUGGAGCAAGGAAGGGAAAAGAAGCAAUAAAGGGGCA
Molecule: long non-coding RNA, 434 nt
Filed under: Anser brachyrhynchus (Pink-footed goose)
Lineage: Eukaryota; Metazoa; Chordata; Aves; Anseriformes; Anatidae
Description: lncRNA (ENSABRG00000006970.1)
Source: RNAcentral